CUGCGUUCCCUACCGCAAACCCUAAUCUAAUCUCAUAUUUUCUUCGUCCGGCUUCUCGGUCCUCUGCACUUUAACCUUCAACAAUGUCUCACUUUGGAAGGUCGGGUCCUCCGGACAUUACCGACACCUAUUCGCUUCUAGUUCUCAAUAUCACAUUCCGUACAACCGCUGAUGACCUGUUUCCCCUGUUCGAUAAGUAUGGCAAGGUCGUCGACAUCUUUAUUCCCAGAGAUCGGAGGACCGGUGAAUCAAGGGGUUUUGCAUUUGUGCGUUAUAAGUAUGCUGACGAGGCACAAAAGGCUGUGGACAGGCUGGACGGAAGAGUGGUCGAUGGCCGCGAGAUAACUGUUCAGUUUGCAAAAUAUGGGCCUAAUGCAGAGAGGAUUCACAAGGGAAAGAUUAGUGAAACGUUCCCCAAGUCUAGGUACAGGUCAAGGAGCCGCAGCCCCAGGAGAAGGUAUCGUGAUGAUUAUAGGGACAGGGAUUAUAGGAAGAGGAGUCGCAGCAGGAGUUAUGAUAGGUAUGAAAGGGAUAGGUAUCGUGGAAGAGACAGAGAUUAUCGUCGCAGAAGUAGGAGCCGUAGUGCAAGUCCUGAUUACUACAAGAGUCGUGGAAGGGAUCGCUAUGAUGAUGAUCGCCGAAGCCGAAGCCGAUCUGUGGAUAGUCGCUCCCCUGUACGACGCAGUCUUAGUCCUCGAAGGAGUCCUUCACCUCAAAGGAGUGUUUCCCCUCAAAGAAGUAGUUCUCCAAGGAGGAGCCCAAGGGGUGAAAGCCCUGAGAGUCGUGAUGGACGAUCACCUACACCUCGCAGUCGCAGUGUUUCACCACGGGGUCAUCCCAGGGAUUCAAGAAGCCCAUCGCCUCGAAAUUCUAAUGGAGAUGAAUGAGCACGGGUUUUCGGAUGAAAAAUUGUGGAGACACCAUGAGCUUGCAGUUGUAGCUGCUUUGAUGAUGUUGGAUCAUUUGAUCGUUGUUCAUGAUCUUGUCGGACUUCCUUGGUGUUAAAAUGUUACUAUAUUUGGACCUAAUGUGUCUUCUAGUGGUCUAUCUGUUAUGUUCGGGUAAAGUGGUGGGGGCCUGGUAGGCUCAUGUUGGCAUUGUUGCUGUUGAUGCUGUGUCUAUGUCAUUGAUGGUUGGUCGUGAAUUUGACGCUCGUUGCAAGAGAAUAUGCUGGUUUUAGGAGUAUGAUUGUUUUACCGAUAUGCUGAUUUGACAAGCAAUUAGUUGACUUGAUUUAUAUCCCAAAUGAUCAUUUGAUUGGAUUCUUGUUGCUGUGAUGGACACGAGAUGAACCUGUAAUGAGAUGUAGCGGAUGCCCCAUAGGAGAUGCGCCUGGCAUUCAUUAAUUCAGAUGCAGACACUAAACAAUAAGUUGUGGAUACCGAAUAUUAAACCUAAUAUGCUGUGGUGUGAGAUUUCCAAGUUCAGCGAUGGGGGACAAUGUGAGAUACGUUCGUUGUAGCAGAGAUGGUGGCUGAUGCAUCUUUUGUGUGAUAUGCGUGUGUUCGUGAGUAAUUUGAAGAAUUAACAAAUAACUGCCUGUAGCUGGCUGUUGCUGCCCUUUUGCUGGGGUCGGGGUUUGCAAUGGUAUUAGCAGUUGGUUGAUGAUGGCUGGCUAGCUGGUUUCUGUUGAUUGCAGAGCCUCCUGAAAUGAAUAUUUUUAUCAUUGAACUGGUGAUCGGUUUUGUAGUUUUGUUUCAAUGCCUUCUUUUUUUUCCUUGGAUCAUCAUUGUGGUAGCAUGCUUAUCUUUUCUAGCAGUGCUACCUGUCUUUUCCAGUGGCCCUUUUUGGCAUUAGUUCUUGCUCAUGAUCACCAUCACUACGUUGUGGGGUGAUAAUGUCGUGCAACUGAAAAGGCAUAAUGGUUAUCUUGGGUAUUUGAUCUUUUUUAAUUAUGUGUCAUCUAGCAAUGCAUUUUAAAUUCUUGAUUGCUGAUUAGCUUGAUCUUUGAUAUAUUGAGAUGAGAAAAAUAGAUGCAUAAUGUUUUGUUCAUCUUCUUCGUCUCUAUCUGAAUCAUUUGGUCCAUCAGAUUUUGUAUUGUAUAUGCUCAUCUAUGUUGUUUUUUUGUUGAAAAAAUUAAUGCAAAUGAUGUUAUAUGCUCAUCUAUUGUAUUUGCCUCACUGGAAUUAUAUUUUUAGAAAGAAUCCUAUUGUAUUUUAAGCUGGAUUGGUAUUGUAUUUUUAGCCUAUCUGCUUUCUUGUCGUUUUGUGAAUAUGCUUAAGAUUUGAAUGAUAUGAGAAUUUGUCAAUCGCUAAUUGCUUGAACUAGAGCUUUUUCGUUGCUUAAUGUGAGAAACCGGUACUGGUCAUGGCCGGUGAUGUAGUUUGCCUUGUAUAAGCUCCUUAGCUUUUAUUCUCCGUUUCAGUCAAUCGUGGAUAUCAAGGUCCCUUUUCAUAUCCAUAUUCUCUGCCCCCUUGAGCACUUCAAUGUUCAAAAAUAUAAUGAAGCUGAUCUGCAUGAGUGCAAAUGGCUGGGCCCAUAGUUUCACAAAUAUUCUGGUGUUCUUUUCUAGCAUAUGGAGAAGAUUAAGAUUUUGGCUUGGAUAUCCACGAGUGAAUCUUUUUUCCUCGCUGCUCUGAGAAAGAAACUAGGAGUUAAUUCAAUUGGUUUUCCAUUAGUUUGCUGUUGAUGUGGUCCAGUUAUGGCCUUCUAGGUAUGAAAUUUCUGUGGUAAUCUGGUUUGUGUAUUGUUCGUCUCGAGAGAAAGGGCUUUCCUUUUUGUUUUUUAAAUUAGAGGAGCGGAUACUAAUAGCUUGAGGUUACUGCUAGGAUUGAAUUGACAACCGACUCUUAUUAGGGAAUUUUCGUGCUAUUUGGUCGGAGCAUUCCUACUGGAGUAGGAUAAUUACUGCCUCCCAUGGUGAAUUGGUGCUGUAUUAGUGUUGCAAGUAUAGACCCCACUAACGCGACCCUCACAGGGCCCUAGUCUUGUCUGUUCCACGUGGCCUCUAGUAUCAGCAUUGAUCUUGCUUAUCCUUGUUUUCUGCAAGACAAGCGAUUUCGUCAGAUUUGGAACACCCGUUGUUCUCCUCUUAUAGUCUAAAUUGGCAAAUAGUAAAUUGUAAAUUAUGCAUGUGAUAUUUAUCUGAGAGUGAUUCGUGAUGGUGGUUUCGUCAACUGCUAAUGUAAUCGUCACUUGAUGAUACGUGAAUUCAUAUGAUCGUAUUAGUUAAAACCAAUUACUAGUUA
This is an RNA transcript of Neltuma alba, 3188 nucleotides long. It is a transcript of the gene named serine/arginine-rich splicing factor SC35, with no coding region annotated. The transcript has 11 exons. The record is from RefSeq and is a predicted model, not a curated record. NCBI's taxonomy places the organism in Eukaryota, Viridiplantae, Streptophyta, Magnoliopsida, Fabales, Fabaceae.